RNAcentral lists this ribosomal RNA (443 nucleotides) under uncultured bacterium. RNAcentral describes it as "partial 16S ribosomal RNA". It matches the Rfam family "Bacterial small subunit ribosomal RNA", at positions 338 to 795 of the family's 1533-position model. The record is from RNAcentral.
CCUACGGGAGGCAGCAGUGGGGAAUAUUGGGCAAUGGGCGCAAGCCUGACCCAGCAACGCCGCGUGAAGGAAGAAGGCUUUCGGGUUGUAAACUUCUUUUCUCAGGGACGAAGAAAGUGACGGUACCUGAGGAAUAAGCCACGGCUAACUACGUGCCAGCAGCCGCGGUAAUACGUGGGUGGCAAGCGUUAUGCGGAUUUAUUGGGUGUAAAGGGCGUGUAGGCGGGAGCGCAAGUCAGAUGUGAAACCUCCGGGCCCAACCCUGAGCCUGCAUUUGAAACUGUGUUUCUUGAGGGCUGGAGAGGCAAUCGGAAUUACGGGUGUAGCGGUGAAAUGCGUAGAUAUACGGAGGAACACCAGUGGCGAAGGCGGAUUGCUGGACAGUAACUGACGCUGAGGCGCGAAAGCGUGGGGAGCAAACAGGAUUAGAUACCCCAGUAGUC